UACGUUAUCUCCCUUUCCCUUUUUCUCUCUGUCCCUCCCUCCUUCUUCCUCUCUAUUCUUCCCCUCCCCUUGUUUUUAUGCCUGAUUAUGUGGACACAGACAAGGAUUAAAACAGGGCACCUGCCCUUGAGGAGUUUACAAUCUGCUGGGCUGAGGAUCAACACAUGUUCAAAAAGAGAGGAAAGAAGUCAAGGGAGAUCAUGCCAGAUGGACUUAAUUUCAAUGAAGAACAGGAGUCCUAAAGAUUAAGAAGAGAGGUCUUCCUGCCUGUAAGAAGGAGGCACUCUCUGCUUCUGUCAUGUGCUAAGCUUCGUCAAACAGAUUAUCUCUCUAAAGGUAGAGGCCUGUGAUUGACCGCUGUACCAAUGACUGAGCAGGGAGAGAGCAUUACUUCUUUAAAUCACCAUAGCACUGUGUGCAAGCCACUUUCUCUGAGUGAUUCUUCAGCUUUAAAAUGGAGUGAUGGCAAAGAACGUAUGUUAUUUCCUCCACGAAACACUACUUCUUAAGAGCUCAAGUCCAGAACCCUUCAUUCUUCCAGACAUAAAAGUCAGCCUGGAUGGCUACCACCACUAAUCAGAUUUGUCUGCUGAUGCAAGGCCCUUCAGUCAUUCCAGAACUGGUAAAUGGAGUCACCCUGAGGACAGGCCCUGCUGCUGAUUGAUGUCCAGUGUGGGCAGCUCUCUUGGCUGCUCAACAUUCAGAGAGGCUCUCCUUGUUUCAGUGCUAAAUGAUUGACAGUCAGGGUGAGUAUUUCAGGAGGAAGAGUCCCCCGCCCACUCCAGCCAUGUGGCAAAGGUAUUUGCUUCCUUGGGAAGGAAGUGAUUUAUCUGUGGGAGAACACUGUUUGGGCAAAGUUGCGUAGGAACAGCGUCUGUCUCUGCAAGCAUGUGUGUAUGUGAGUGUGGGCAUAAAGCAGCAAGAGUGGAAGGUAAAGACAACGUGAACGUCAUAAAAGAACACUUCUUUUUACAAAUGCUUGAAAACAUUCGAUGCUGAAAGACUUCAGACCACAUAAAUGAAUUUGCACCUAAUUCAACAUAGCUAUACUUCUUUCUUUUUCAGAAUUAAUGAGCCUGCCUUAUCAUUAGUUUUAUCAUAGAAACUAUCACAGAGAAGAAACCAUCUUAGAGAGAAAUCGGUGGAAGACAAGAUGAAAAAGGAAAAAUAAAAAAGACUGGAGGCAGGGGAACAUGGAGAAUGCAAGUGUGUUUGCAUUUGCACCAAGUUUGAGUUGAAAGGCUUUAUAAGGAUUUUGAGCAGCUGUAUAAGUAGUUAGAGCUAGAUAUGUGUAUAUGUGUUGCCAUUAACCAAGUUACUUCAACAUUAGCCUUAUGAUUAUAUGCCCUAGCAUUCAGAUUCAAGGAAGAAACAGUUUCUCUGGAGAAUUUUGUUCCUUAGUGACUGAUUUCAGUUGAUUUCAAGGUAAGCCAGGUAUGUAACUAACUUUUUAAAUUUAGAUGAAUAUAAGUUUAUGUUAUUAAUGAUUAUUUGUUUAUUCAUAAAAUUGACACUGACAUGUUACUAAAAUACAAGAAUCUCAAUUUUAUAUUGAAGAAAUUAAUUCAUUAGGUCAAACACAUAAAAAUUCUGAAGUGAAAAUGAUUCAUGUGUCAAGUGGUCAUAAUGUAAGACCCCAGUAAAUAUUCCACAGUAGGUUGAGCUAAUGGCAGUUGCUUCUCAGUACACAUUCAAACAUAUUUUCUCACAAUCUAGAGAGUUCAUCUACACUGGGCAGAAAGGGCUAGAUUGAUUAGCAACCAAAGGCCUGAGCUCCAUCGCUGGUUGCAUAACAAUAGCUGUGUGACCUUUGAUAAGGUGCUUAGCCUCUCUAUGCCACUGCUUUCUCACCUGUCAUGUAAGUGUAACAAUGUCUUUCUCACCUGUCUCAUAUUAUUGCUAUGCAGAAGAAAUGAGAUUUCAUUCUGGAAGUUCUUUAAGCCCCUGAACAAAAUGCAAGUUUUUAUGGAUCCACACACACAUACACUAUUCAUGAUCAUGAAUACAUAAUGUACUCUGUUUUGAAUAUGCUGUAGGUGUUUUGUGCUUUGAAUGCUUGUGCCUGGAGAUCCCAGCCCAUAACAGCACACAAUAGGUGUCCCCUGUGGGGGUAACCCACAGAGUAUAACUCCCAGAGUAUAACCCAGGUGAUAUUCUGCCACACCUGUGCUCUGACAGAUGGUGGUGUGGAGAGAGAAAUUUGCCACAUCAACACAUGCCAAGGUAAGGAGAACAGAGCCACGUAAUAGCAACACCAAAGCCUGUCUGUCCAUUAAGCCAAGUCAAAUGCCACUUUCUUCACAUAGCUUUCUGGGGCUUCUUUCUCCUCCUGAAGGAAUUAAUUUCUUCUGAAUCUGUGUACUUGUUUCACUCUGUCGAUGUGGCCUUGAACUUUCCGUACCCAUGCCAACCCCAACAGCAUUCAGCUGGCACCCAAUAAAUAGGAUUCCAGCUCUCUUAGAGUCUGCAGCCUCAGUUCUGAAAUUCUGGCCUGACCCUGAGUCAUUCCUCAGAUUAGAUUUCACCCUAUUUGUAUUCUCCUGCCUUGCAACUUCCAGCCAAGUCAAUACAUAGUUACCAAGCACUUGCUAUUUGCUAGGAGUGUGCUAAAUUAUGGGGUACGGUAAUGGACAAUAAUUCAUGUCUUUUGCUCUCUUGAAGAUUAGAACCUAAUGAGGCUAUAAACAAUUAAACAAUUUCAAUCUUCAAACUAAGGAAUUUAUAGGGAAAUUUUCAAAAAGGGUCCAGUAUGAGAUAUAUGAGAUCUAUGGGCUGAGAAGGUGUUAAUUAGGUGAAAGUCUGUUUAGAAAGGCAGAAUGUUCCAAGUAAUACAUCUAGGCAACAAAGGAGAACCUGUUACAUUUAAGAAAUGGAAAGACACUCGGUUUGGACAAAGCUAAGUACUAAGCAAAAGCCAACUUCUUUACCUAUUUCUCUACUUCCAGCUUCACCUUAUAUUUGGUACCUUCAUACUUAAUGUUGGGCUCUGUAACUCCCUCCUGUACAGCCUCUUAAUCACCUCCCCAGUUUGGUCAACACCAAGAUCCCAGUUCCUUUUGAUCCCCAAACGGACUAAUUUCCUCUUGCCUUAUAAAUGGAAACUGAUCUGUCUCAAUGUUUUUUUUUUUAACAUGUAAUUUGCAUCACAAUGAUCCAAUUUGAGGGCACAUAUUAUUUUUCUUAUCAGACUGCCAAGGAACAGAUGAUCUUUGUAUUUCCUCCCAAGUACCUAGAAUAGUGCCUAACAAUACAUUUGUAUUUUCCUAUAACAAAUUUCUAUCAUGUCACUUUCUGGUUUAAAAUCCUUCAGUGACUCUGCAGUACAUUUUAGGACAAAACCCUAUUCCAAAAUACAGGCCACAAGUCCCUCAUGUUCCAGCCCCAUUAGCCUGCCAGCCUCACCAAAGGCAGAAGCCCUUUGCCCUCCUCACUUCCCCUUCCACUUACAGGAAGCACUCAACUUCUCAAGGCUUCUUGCUCCUUCCUGCCUUUGAGCUCCCUCACAUGCCAUUCUUUCUGCUUGCCCCACCCAGCCCCACCCAGCCAGACUCAGCCCUUCACUGUGGCUCAUCUUGGAGGUCUCAGGUUACAUAUCACUUCACAGGAAGGCUUUCCCCAAUACUCACUUAGUUGCUACUGCUACAAUAUGGCACUUAUUAUGCUUUACUGAAAUUACUUGUUGAAAUGUUUAUCUCUCCUGCUGAGGGUAUCUCAGCCUUGGUAUGAUUGACAUUUUGGACCAAAUCAUUCUUUGUGGCGGGGGCUGUCUUGUACAUGGUAGGUUGUUUAGCAGCAUCCCUGGCCUCUACCCGCUAGAUGCCAGUAGCACCUUCCCCAGUUAUGACAGCCAAGAAUGUCUGCAGACGUUGCUAAAUGUCUCCUGGGGGGGCAGUCACAUCCAUUUGAGAGUGACUGUGCCAGAUCAUUGAGAAGGUAAGGACUGUGUCUUGAAUAAGUAGUGAAUACCACUGUAUCACAACCUGGCAUUUAGUGGAAGGCUACUGAUCAUGUGUUGCAUGAAUGAAUAGAAGUUUUUACUAUAAGCUCCUACUGAAUGAAUGAAUAUUAGUAAGAAAACUGUGUCAGAAACACUGGUAGUUCAGAACCCUGCAUUUUUAUUUAAUGAAGGGUGGAACCUGCAAGAACAUGGUGGUCUCUUACUUUGGAACCUGUCUCCUCCUUGCCUGUUAAUCGGUCCUGGUCCUCUAUUCCCCCCACCCCCAAACAUACCUCUUUGGGCUGCCCUGUCCACCCAUCUCCCCUCUACCAAGCAGAAAAAAAAGGUUCCAGCUCCCUGAGCUUUCUUCUUCAAAGACAUUUAAGCUUUUAAUGCGAAUCCUGAUUAAUUAACAAGGGCACGGGACUUACAUGCAUUUCAAGUUGCUUUUAUCUCGUGAAGAAAAGAAGCCUUUUGGCAGAUACUUUCUGUUCAAUGUCUAGUUCAGUAUUUCAAAGGGCAAGCUGUGAUGGGCUGAGCGGGUUACCAUUUGUGUGUGUGUGAAGGGCAAUGACUAGUAAUUAAGGGACAGACCCCUUUAUGUCAACUUAAGAAAAAAAAUUAAUCUCAGCUUCAUUUCAAGCUGGGUUUGGUGUUGAAGGGCAGAAGCAAAAUAGAAAGGGGGUACACUGUAUGGUAAUGGCUGGAUCUCUUUGGCUUUGAAUGAAAAAGCUAAUAUUUGUUGAGAACCUACUGUAUACUAUAUCAGAUCCCCCCAGAACCCUGUGGAAGAGUCAAUAUAAUUUAAUUUUACAAAAACAAAGUUUGGGAGGCAUCAAGUUAUUUGUCCAAAAUACAACAAAUAGUCCAGCCAUAUUCAGAAUAUGGUAGAUCUGAAUACAUUCUUUCAUCCAAAACUUCCGGCUUAGUCAAUUGUCUGCUGCUAUAAUAGAUACCACAGACUGGGAAAUUUAUGAAGAAAAGAAAUUUAUUUGGCUUAUGGUUCUGGAGGAUGGACAGUCCAAGGUCAUGACACUUGGAUCUGUUCGGCCAUCUGGUGAAGACCUUGUUGCAUUCUCCCAUGGUGGAAAGAAGAAAGCAAGUGAGUACAAGAGAUAGAGAAAGAUAAGGGCAGAACUUACUCUCUUAUCAGGAGUCCGCUUCUAUAACCCAUUCUAAAAAUAAAGCAUUAAUCCAUUCAUGAGGGUAGAGCCCUCAUAACCUAUCACCUCUAAAGAUCCCACUUCUUAAUACUGUCACAAUGGCAAUUAAAUUUUAACGUGAGUGUUGUAGGGAACAUUCAAACAACAGCAACUACAACAACAACAGACGUCAGCUCCUGUGUGUCUUCCCUUGCUCAUCUAUGCCUACCAGAAUAGAAUGAAAGAAGGGUUUAUUUGAUCCUGUGUUCAAGUCAUUCAUUUAUUCCACUAGGCAAUCUGUCAAGAUCUCAUAGAUUAAGGGCUCCUACAGCAACCUGUACUCACCCUAUUUUACCCUUUAUCAUACAUUUUUGGUAAGUAAUCUUUUUAUUGUUCAACUUCCCAAAUAAAAUAUAAACUUUUAACAAACAGGGACCUUGGCUUUCUUGUUGAAUUCUGUAUCCUUAGUGUUUCACAUGGGGACUGACACAAAGUAGGUUUCAAGAAAUAGUUGUUGAAGUAAAUAUUUCCUUAGGACCUACUCUGCUGAGAUUACUAGUUGCCUUGUAUCAUAGUAGGUCAUACUUAUCCCUUCUUUUUAAGUAACAUAAUUCUCAUUUUAACCUGGAAGGCCAUACUAAGUGGCCAAAAGACAACCCAGCUCCUGUGUCAUUAAGAAUAACUGUGUAAAUCUGAUUCAUGAGAUGUAAACAGAAAUGUUGUGUUUCACUUCCAUGAAGUCUUUUACUCCAUCCUCCUCCUUAGAUCAUGCAUGUGAUGGCUGGAACUCAGUCAUUUUGGACCAUGAAGACCAGACCCACACGCUGGGGCCUAAGAAGCAGAAGUAUGAAAGCCACCUGGAUCCCUGAAGACCAUGGAAUUGUUAGAACAAUUCUACUCUAUCUGUAGACUUGUUUUAUUUGAAAGAUAAGUAGAUUUCUGUCUUAUUCAAUUCACUGAUUUUGGUUCUUUGUUAUUUGCAAUCAAAUCUAAUUCCAGUAGAUACAACUCCUAAGUGCAGAGCACUGUUCUAGGGAUUGUGGGGCAUGCUGACAUGGGUCUCAUGCCUGCAUAGCACUCAUAGCCUGCAGAAGAACAGCAGUGCUGCCAUAUCUGAUGGUCAUUUGACACACUGAACUCCAGCCAUAUCAAUUUUCUUUUCAGUCCCCAAAUGGCAGUCACCACAAAAGAAGAAAAGAUAAAGCUCUUAGUGGGAUCUGAAUCAAGAGAUACCACUUACAGUGGAAGGAAAAAAGAUCAUUUUCAUGGAGGAACUGCCCUUGAAUUUCGCCUUGAAUAUUGAUGAGUAUUGGAAUCUGCAGAGACUGGGAUAAGGUUGGGAUGAGGUCGAACACUACAGGAACAGAAAAUAUGGAACAUGUUUGGGAGCAGGCCAGGGAUUCUGUCAUAUAAAGUGCAUGAAAAAGCAUAUCAUGUAAUAUUUAUGAUUAUUGCUCUGGAGUUAGACUGUUUGGGUUUGAAUCCCAGAUCCAGUGUUUACUAUCUAUGUGACCUCGGCUGAGUCAUGAACUUCCAUGAGCUCCAUUCUUCUCACCUUUAAAAUGAAGAUCACAACUCCUACCUUCUUGGCUUGUUACCAGAAUUAAAUGAGUUUUUAUGUGUGGAGGGCUCAUGAGAGUGGCUGUCCCAAAUAAGCAUUCUCUAAAUGUUAGAUAUGACUGUCAUCCCCUUAAAACUGCAAGAGUUAGUUGAAACCAUAGCAAGCCGAGCCAUGAAUGCCAUGUUAAUGCAUGUUAAUGCCAUUAUUAUAAAGGUACCAAAAAGCUGCUGACAGUUUGUGAGCAAAGUUGUGGAUGACAUUAUCAGAGCUGUAUUUUAGGAAGUCUUAAUAUGUCAACAUAUGUCAUACUAUUAUGUUUUCUCUCCCCCGCACUCCAUUAGCCCACUGACCUAGGUGCCUCUUCCUCCCGGAACACACCAGCAUUCAGCAAUUCCCCAAGGUCCCUCCCCUGUCUCCAAAGCUGUCUGCCUGAUCACUGACUUAGGCAAAGCUUCCUACUUUUCAGAGACCUGUGAAAGGGAGCCAACCCCCUGGCUCACAGCCCCUAGCCCUAGUUGUUCCCAUGGACUUGCUGAAGGAUGUGAUUCUUUUGCCACUCUUCCACUCCUCCCCCAAUUCCUGCAACCCCCUCAGGAGUGGUGUUCUCAAUGGUGACAUUGUGACUCCAAGCCAUGAAAUAUAGGCCAGUUAUUGCAUCAUAGAUGGAUUAUAUGAGCCUUUUAUUUUCUUCUUGGUGACAACGGGAACCAUGCCGCCUUCACAAGAGCUGGCAGAGACAGUUGACUAUAUUGUAUGCUAUUAACUGAAUUAUGCCUCCUCAAAAUUUGUAUGUUGAAGCUUAUUGACUGUAUUUGGAGAUAGGGCUUUUAGAAGGUAAAAGUCAAUAAGGUCAUGAGAAUGGGACCCUAAUCUGAUGGGGCUGGUGACCUUAUAAGUAGAAGAUAUCUUUCUCUUAUCUCUCUUUCUCUCAUUUUCUCUCUCUUGUUCACUCUCUCUUCACUUCCCUCCUUUUCUCUCUCCCCCCUCUCCCUUUCUCUCCCCCCCUUUUUGAGCACAUGUGCCAAGGAAAGGCUAUGUGAAGACACAAAGUGCCACCUACAAACCAGGGAGAGAGCCCUCACUAGACACUAACCCAGAUGGCACCUUGAUCUUGGACCUCGAGCCUCCAGGACUGUGAGAGAAUAAAAUUCUGUUGUUUAAACCA
Molecule: long non-coding RNA, 7805 nt
Organism: Homo sapiens (human)
Lineage: Eukaryota; Metazoa; Chordata; Mammalia; Primates; Hominidae
Exons: 5
Source: RefSeq, a predicted model, not a curated record